UAGUAAGAAAAGGAGAAAGAGAGUUUCUGCCAGUCCCAACUCAACCUUCCUUCCAUGCAGAUCUGGAAGUCCGCCCGCAGAAGCUGUUUCCAGCUGGCUUUGCUUUGGUCUCACUCUCUGCAGAGGCAUGCCGGCUCCGUACCAUUCACACCUGGCUAUAUGUUCCUGUGA
Molecule: long non-coding RNA, 171 nt
Filed under: Capra hircus (goat)
Lineage: Eukaryota; Metazoa; Chordata; Mammalia; Artiodactyla; Bovidae
Description: lncRNA (ENSCHIG00000003704.1)
Source: RNAcentral